Long non-coding RNA from Gossypium raimondii (Peruvian cotton), 373 nucleotides. RefSeq lists it as uncharacterized. The record is from RefSeq and is a predicted model, not a curated record. Lineage: Eukaryota; Viridiplantae; Streptophyta; Magnoliopsida; Malvales; Malvaceae. The transcript is spliced from 3 exons.
AAGAAAAGAAACAGAAUAGAAGAGACGAAACAGAGAAGAAACAGGGGAGAAAGAAAGAAAAAAAGGGAAAACUAGGGAUUUGAAGCUUGAAGUUCAAUAGCUAACAAAGAGCCCAAGGCAUCGGCACGAAAAGGAAAAGAGAAGAUUAUCGAGGAGUAAACGCAAGAAAAUCACGGUCGAUAGAAGCCAAAGGUCCCGGUUCAGCAUCCAGAUCAAUCCCGACUUCAGCAUAAUUUUGGUGAUGUAUAUUUUCUUUUGGUAAUGUGGCAUGUACAUAUGUUGUGUAUAAAAGUUUAGGUGAUAAAUUAUACAUGGAAAUCAUGAAAGGGUAAAAUUUUACAAAGAAACAGAAUUCAGGCAGCACAGUGACGUG